Molecule: long non-coding RNA, 405 nt
Filed under: Musa acuminata (dwarf banana)
Lineage: Eukaryota; Viridiplantae; Streptophyta; Magnoliopsida; Zingiberales; Musaceae
Description: long non-coding RNA (MACU_LNC005777)
Source: RNAcentral
ACAAAUAAAUUCUCAAAAUAGAUAAUAUAAACUAGGUAAGCAUUUUUUUUCAAACAUCACCCAAGCGGAUCAGACCCAAGACUGUCACAGAGAACAAAAUGAUAACAUGUAUAGAUCUGAUAGAAGUUACUAUGGCAAGGGUUUGAACCCUCGGCCUCUGGGAAAAGGACUAACUACACACUACCGGGCUAGCUAGUUAGGUAUUAAACUAGGUAAGUUUGAACAUUUUUUAUGUAUGAAAGCCUUUUUACACUUUUCCCACAGGUGUGAUUCAGCAAAUAACCACAUGCUUUGUUAGCUAAGACCUUGCAGGAUUGGCUUUUGGGUAAUAUAAUGGGGAUUGUUAUGAUUAAGUUUAGAACUUUCAAGUUAUGUACCACCAUCAUUUUCUGAUCCAGUUAAACA